This 492-nucleotide ribosomal RNA is filed under the name uncultured bacterium. Its description in RNAcentral is "partial 16S ribosomal RNA". It matches the Rfam family "Bacterial small subunit ribosomal RNA", at positions 30 to 507 of the family's 1533-position model. The record is from RNAcentral.
AUUGAACGCUGGCGGUAGGCCUAACACAUGCAAGUCGAACGGCAGCACAGUAAGAGCUUGCUCUUACGGGUGGCGAGUGGCGGACGGGUGAGGAAUACAUCGGAAUCUACUUUUUCGUGGGGGAUAACGUAGGGAAACUUACGCUAAUACCGCAUACGACCUACGGGUGAAAGCAGGGGAUCUUCGGACCUUGCGCGAUUGAAUGAGCCGAUGUCGGAUUAGCUAGUUGGCGGGGUAAAGGCCCACCAAGGCGACGAUCCGUAGCUGGUCUGAGAGGAUGAUCAGCCACACUGGAACUGAGACACGGUCCAGACUCCUACGGGAAGCAGCAGUGGGGAAUAUUGGACAAUGGGCGCAAGCCUGAUCCAGCCAUAGCGCGUGGGUGAAGAAGGCCUUCGGGUUGUAAAGCCCUUUUGUUGGGAAAGAAAAGCAGCAGGUUAAUACCCCGCUGUUCUGACGGUACCCAAAGAAUAAGCACCGGCUAACUUCGUG